UAUGUAAACAUAUUGUCUCAUUA
This 23-nucleotide non-coding RNA is filed under the name Arabidopsis thaliana (thale cress). Lineage: Eukaryota; Viridiplantae; Streptophyta; Magnoliopsida; Brassicales; Brassicaceae. The record is from RNAcentral.